Molecule: long non-coding RNA, 2785 nt
Organism: Vitis vinifera (wine grape)
Lineage: Eukaryota; Viridiplantae; Streptophyta; Magnoliopsida; Vitales; Vitaceae
Exons: 8
Source: RefSeq, a predicted model, not a curated record
AUUAUUUUUUCUUAUUGAGCUGUCAAACUUAGCCUUCUCCAAGUGACAUCUGUUAUCUGAAAUUGGGAUAGGAAGGGUGUUUCUAUUAAAAAUUGUUUUAAAUUUGAUUAUUUAGAAUUCUUUACUUAACUCCAUUUCAAUUGUGAUUUCUAGAAUAUCAAAGAGUUUGAGAAUUUUAUUUAUUUAUUUAUUUUAAUUUUGGAUUGGUUAGUUAACGUCAUUCAUAUGUUGUGCUUUGGGAGUUAAUAUGUGAAAUGAUGAGAUGCCAUUGGCCUUAAGGUUCCGGGUGUUAAAAUACUACCUUAAAUAGAGGAAAUGGUGGAAGCUAAUGAAGCCGAAGGGAUUGACUCUUGAGGAUUUGGAGUUUCCGGCCACCGCUGGUGGGGGUGCUGAGCGCAAGUGUAGAUGAAAGACGGGGCUGCUUUAGCUUUGGAGGUUUAGUGUGAGUGGUAGUAGCUCUUAUACUUCUAACAGAAGGGGCAAUGGCUUCUACAAGUGAUGCGGAUGCAUCUGAUCUGGAGAGCAUUAGGAGAAAGUUGAUCUAGAGAUUGGCCAGCAAUUGGGAAGAAGUUGUAAAGAUAUACGAGCAAGAUCCAAGAGCUCACAAGAUCAAGAUCGGCCCAUCAAAGAACACAGCAUUGCAUAUAGCAGUUUCAAGUGGGCGAGAAGACGUAGAAAAACUAGUGAAAUUGAUUGCUAAGAAUAGUAACCCCGUGGAUGUUCUAUCUAUAGAGAAUAGAGAUCGGAACAAUCCUCUCCAUCUGGCGGCCUCACUGGGAAGCAUUUCCAUUUUCAGAUGCAUCACUGGUGAGUAUAAAGAACUGUUGGGUUGCCGCAACCGAGUGAGUGAUACGCCCCUUUUAAGGGCAGUUCGCUAUGGCAGAAAAGAUGUUUUCCUCUCGUUGUAUGAUAUGUGCGACACCACCUCAGCCCAUGACUACUGUCAUGACAUGGAGGGUAAAAAGGUUCUCCAUCUUGCCAUUGAAGGAGGACACAUGGAUUUGGCGUUUCAAAUUAUUGGUAAGCAGGAAGAUCUCAUGGAUUCUGUUGACUGGCAUCAAAUCUCCCCUCUGCAUGUCCUAGCUGAGAAGCCUACUUGCAAUCAUAAAAACUUGGGACUGAAUUAAAUCAGCGCGCACAUCAUUUGUUAUCUUGUAUCUGAUAUCUCCAUCAAGGCCAUAAAUUUCCGAUAGUUUCCCUUGUUAAUCAAAUUGGAAGGUAUUUUUAUUUUAGAGCUCGUCCCAGGGACUUCCAAAGCAGAGAAGAACAUCUUUCAAGAGCUACAAAAGAUGAUUAAAUUACCAGGAAAAUCUAAAAAGCACUUGGAUCCAGAGAAUCCUGAAGAAGGGCAAGGCAUUGAACUUCAUGGUCAUAAUUCAAGCAAUAUUGGAGCUCAAGGACACAAACCAUUCCCCUCAAAAUAUGGCAGAUGCCAGAGGUUCAUCAAGCUUCUUGUAUCCCAAGUACUGCUGGUUAUCAUCUCCGUACUGCCAGGUUCAAGUCGGAUAAGGAAGCUAAAAGAGAAAAAGGAGAUGCAUGUGUGGUCUCUUCAGAUCAUGGACAAGCUACUUGAACAUGCUGCAAGGCGUACAGAUGAAAUAAAUCCCAAUUGUUUGUUAUUCAGAGUAUGAAUACUUCCGAAGGGGAGGAGCUUCGGAGACACCAAUACUACUUGCAUCAAGAAAUGGUAUAGUGGAAAUGGUAGAGAAAAUCCUGCAACUGUUUCCUAUGGCCAUUUAUGACACCAACGGCUUUAAUCAGAUCAUAGUGCUGACGGCAAUAGAGAAUAGGCAAUCACAUAUAUAUGACUUCUUACUCAACAGUAGUCAUCUUAUUGAUAAAGAAGGUGCAUUUGUUGACAAAGGCGGGAACAGUGCAUUGCAUCUAUUGGAAGUCUAGCAGGUUACCGCCACUUCCAACAUAUCCCCACCAGCAUGUUGCAAAGGCAGUGGGAAGUCAAGUGGUACCAGUAUGUGCAGAAUUCCUUGCUACCAGAUUUUGGGGAAGACAUACUCCAGAUGAGAUUUUCCAAAAAGAACAUCAAAAACUUGAAGAUGAAAGCAAACAAUGGCUAAAUAGCACAUCCAAUUCCUGCUCUUUCAUUGCAGCACUUAUCACAACUGUUGCCUUUGCCUCAUCAGCCUCUGUACCUGGAGGGCUACAAUGGCAAAAUAGCACAUCCAAUGCCAGCUCUUUCUUUGCAGCGCUUAUUGCAACUGUUGCCUUUGCCUCAUCAGCCGGGGUAAAGCAAGACACUGGGGAAUCAGUUUUUGAACACCAUCUGGCUUUCAGUAUAGCAUCGCUAGGUGCUCCUUUCUGUUGAGUGAUCUCCUUGCUAAUAUUCCUCGUCAUUUUCGUCUCCAAGGGUGAAGACAGAUUUUACUACAAACUUGCCGAGGAAAUUUUUAUUUGGUUUAACAUCUGUCUUUAUAUCCAUGGCAGCCAUGUUGACCUGUUUCUGCUCGGGAAACUUCUUGAUGCUUAAAGGGUCAAUUAAAAUAUGCUGCAAUUCUGGUGUAUGCAGUCACCAGCUUGGUAUUGGCCUCCUUUGUUCUGAAGCACUUUCCAUUAUUUUUUGAUCUUCUGAAGGCUGCAUUUCGUAAGGUGCCUGAGCGUAUAUACAAGGAGUAUCCGUAGGUUGCUUUGGUCUAGGCUCAAGGACCUUAUGCCAUGGUGAUGAUGAUGUAAUUUUUCAGUUGUUUUGUGUCUUUCAAAUAUAUGCAACACUGUAAUCUUCUUCCUGGAGUACAGAUUCUUAUCAAAUUGAUUGAUAACACAGAAAUAA